AUGGCUAAUGUUAUUUCCCUGUCCCUGUCCCUGUCCCUUUUUCUUUCUCCCAGUCUCUAUUCCUCUAUCUCUACCUUUCAGAUUCAGUCAAUUUCUGUCUUACCAUCUUCUCUCUGUCCCUCUUUGCCUUUCUCACUAAUCUCUUACUUUUCUUCUGUUUUAGGAAGGAGUGGGGUCUGGAACCCUUUCUUCCCCCUCCCUCCUGCAGGGCAUCAAAGAGAAGAACCUCCGGAAAUCUCUCUCUCAGCAACUGAAGGCUCACCAAACACAUCCUUCCUGCGGCACCAAGCACUUUGGGAGGCCGAAGCAGAAGGAUCGCUUGAGCCCAGGAGUUUGACACCCAGUCUGGGGCAUAGUGAGACACCGUCUUUACUUUUAAAAAAAAUAAUAACAAAUAAAAUAAAUGUAAAAAAAGGAAAUGUACCUCUGUACCUCAAUAGCUUUCUAAUUCAUCAGUCCUGGGAUAUGGAAUUGUGGGAAACGAAACCCCAGCCUAGGGAAAAAGGGGAGAGUUGGGGGCACAAGAUCUGACCUGGAUAAUGGGUCUCUGGGUAGAAUGGUGAGGGAUCAGAUUACUGCCUCCACUUUCUAGUGCUCUGACGGACUCCCACUAUCUGCUUUCCGGAGCCCCGCAGCAGCUUCUUAGCUUUGUAAGGCUCAGUGUGCCUGUGCUUCCUGCCCAAGAAGCGGAAGAGUGGUGAGAGACACUAGAAUCAGCAUGCAGAUGUACACGCGGGACACAGCCGCCCCCAUGUAUUCCUCCCAUUCCAGAUUUCUUGCAUUACCAACUAGUUUCUCUUUUAAGAUGUAAAUUUCCCCAGAGAGUUAAGCCAUUCCCACCUUGUGCAUAUUUAAUCAGAUUGUUUUCUUCUCAACUGAGAACAUCAGUGCUCACCACCAUCUCCUCAGGUAACAUUUUUCCGAGGCACCCCCAUGCUCGGGCUGGAAAUAUGAUGAAGAGGGUCUGUUCUUGGCCCCAGAGCUGGGUCUUGAAAGACUAUUAGAGUAUGUCUAGAUGAAUCCAUGGGCAUGGGUCAUGGGAGGAAGUCUUUCCCAGGCAGGGAGAUCCAUGUGUACAAAGGCCCAGAGAUAUGAGAGACCAUGGUGCAAGGACAGAAAUGCAAAUCAUUCCGCCUAAGCAAUGCAGAGAAUGCAAGCUGUGUGCAAGGGCUAAGGUAGGGGCGAGAAAGAGGCCAGAGUGGUUGGUAGGAGCCAGUUCGUGGAGGGCCUUGUGUGCCAAGGAAAGGGGUUGUACUUCAUCCUGUAGGCAUCUGGGAGCCACUAAGGGUUUAAAGCAGGAAGUUGAUGUGAUUAAACUUACGUUUUAGGAUGCUCCCUCUAGCGGUGUGUGGAGGCACUUGAGGAAAAGAGGGAAACAAUGAGUGUCAGUCCUGAAGGUAACCUGGCUGUCACCCUGACACAGGUGGGAAUGUCAAGGCAAUGACUGGCUAGAGAAGAGGGAUGGAUAGAUUGGAAAAGGAGCUAGGGGGUAAGAAUCCAAAUGCUCUGGUAACUGGUGACCCUCACAUGAAAAGAUUAAGGAGGAGUCCACUGUGACUCACAGGUUUCUGGCGUGAUUGGCCAGGGGAUGCUGAUAGAGACCACAAAUGCCUGAAAUGCAGCUACGGAACUUAGGAGUACUUAGUAUGAAAGGUGUUGAGCGGGAUCCCCAGCUGGGGAAUGACCAGCAUCUAGGUAACUCUAGGAGACUGAAAGAUCUCAGGAGAGAGGUAUAGAUUAGGUGGGGCAUCAGAGUUAGUUGGAACUAACCCCAAAACAAAAUGAGUAAGCUGGAUAGUUUAGGAAUGAAGAUCAGGAGGUAGGAGGAGGUUUUAGAAAGGGAGAUGAGAUGCUAGAGGGAAGAGCUUUCCAAACUUGAACCUUCCUGCAGUUUUAUGGAGGUCGUCUUCACAUCUUCACAGUGUCACUUGCUGACAGGUGACUGUCCUAGGAUGUUGAGACGCCUCGUUGAGAACAUGGCUUUGCUUUUCCUGUGCUCCUCAGGCUUCUCAUAUUUCUGAAUGGGUUUUUCCACAGGGCUCUGCAAUUCAGGCAAAGCUCCAGUAUCUACGAAUUCUGAAUGAACUUCCUACCUUCACGGGCGUUUUGUUCAACACUGUGGGCCUGGUCAGUGGGGCAGGAUGGGGGGAUGUGGGGAGGGAGCCCUUUGUUGGCUCUUGUGCUUGGGGGUGGGGGCAGGAGGGGCAAAUAUUUCUAAAGGCCUGCCUUCCUCUUCCUCCUCCUUCUACCUCUCCCCUCCCUGGCCCUGCCUCUGGUAAAAUAAUAAAGUGGGAGGAGACACUUGUUUUGAGUAUCCCUCCAUGACCUUUUUUUGUUCCUCUUCCUCAAUUUUGGGGCUCAGCAAACUUUUGCCAUGAAGGGCCAGAUAGUAAAUAUUUUAGGUUUUACAGGCAGGCUAUACGGGCAACUGCGGCAACUACUCAGCUGUGAGAUCAUGAAAGCAGCUACAGACAUGCGUAAACAAGUGGGUGUGGCUAUGUGCCAAUAACUAUAGACACGAAAAUUUGAAUUUCAUGUACUUUUCACAUGUCACAAAACAUGCCUCUUCUGAUUUUUUUCUCAACCAUUAAAAAAUGUAAGAACCGUUCUUAGCUCCUGAGCCAUAAAAAAUAGGUGGUGGUCGGGAUUUGGCCCAUGGGCCAUAGUUUGCCAACCCCUGCUCUAUUUCAUUUUUGUUGCACAUACUCCCGCAGUCCCCUACCCUAAGUUUCCUGAGUCCUUCUAUUUCCCCUGCUUGCCCAGCACCUCUGCUGCAGGAACAAGGCUCUGGGGCAGGCCACAGCUUGUCCCACUCUAAGACUGUGCCCCAGGCUAGUUUACCCUGGUGAAAGGGAAUGCAAAUCAUCUUGCUGAUUGGAUCCAGGUGCUUGUCUUGCUCCCAGGGGUACACUGUCAGCUAGUGCGGCACAAGGAUGGAAAGCUACUUAUCAAAGUGCCUGUAGACAGGCACAAGAGGUUCCUCAGGGUGAUGCUAAUACCAGGGAAUGGGCCACCAGAGGACCCAGGCUUGGUUGCUCCAAGGAGUCUGUCAAUACCUCUUAAGGGAAUCCAGCCCUUCGGGACAAGAGGUAGCCAUUUACAUAUGGGGAUUUGCAGAACACCGAAAGCCCACUGUUCCCUCCCACCUCCUUCAUUCGCCAUCAAAUCUUUCUCCCACCCACCUACCAAUGCUAAAACUUCUAUCGACCGUACCUGCUAGAGUGCCUAUUAAUAGGCAAAUCUCUGCUUAAGGAGGGAGGCUGCCAUGAAGUACCCAAUCAACCCUGAACACCUUAAGCAGAGUUACUGUGCCAGUUUAGAUUUUGGCCUGGGGUGAGAAGUGCAAGUCUGAGUGGCUGUUGGUAGGGGGAGAGUAAAGACCAGACAUGGGAUGCCACCUUCUCAGGCAGAGCACUGCAUGGGGGGCCUCGAAUGGCCUGCAGCCAACAAAUGGAAAGUCCUGGGGCUUGGUAGGGAAGGGUGCUCCAAAGGCCCCCAAACAAACCUCACCUACUUCACCAUUUUGCUGGAGCUAGUCCUGCUGCUGCACUCUUUAUUCAACCUGCUGCUGAUGCUAAGGUGUCCAUUUGGACCCAUAAUCUGGGGCUCUAUUCCAGGAAUCAUGUUCUGUCCCAGACCAUUUUCCCCUCAAGGCUGUUCAGUCUGGCACUGAGCCCCAGAUAUUUUCAGAUCCCACCAGCAGAGUCCAAUGCAUGUUUUCUAUUUCCUCCUCCUGCCUCAUCUCCCCAACUCCUUCACCCUUCUUUCUGUGAAUACUGCCUGCCAUUCUUGGGCACCAGGACGAGAAGCAGCGGCAACCACUCUCCUGGUGGGGACCCCGUCAUGGCAUCAGCCAUGUUAUUGACCUCAAAACCAACCUCACCACUGUGCUGUCCGAGUUCAGCAAGAUCAGCAAGAUCCAGCUGUUCCGGGAGAACCAGGGCGUGG
RNAcentral lists this long non-coding RNA (3948 nucleotides) under Callithrix jacchus (white-tufted-ear marmoset). RNAcentral describes it as "lncRNA (ENSCJAG00000080999.1)". The record is from RNAcentral. Lineage: Eukaryota; Metazoa; Chordata; Mammalia; Primates; Cebidae.